Long non-coding RNA from Galeopterus variegatus (Sunda flying lemur), 438 nucleotides. RefSeq lists it as uncharacterized. The transcript has 3 exons. The record is from RefSeq and is a predicted model, not a curated record. NCBI's taxonomy places the organism in Eukaryota, Metazoa, Chordata, Mammalia, Dermoptera, Cynocephalidae.
UGCAACAUUAGGUUAAUAUCAUUUUUUUGGAUGUAGGUGUUAUGGCCAUAAACUUUCCUGCUUUUGCUGCAUUCUAGAAGUUUUGUUUUGAACUUGGAUGCUGUCUGGAAACUGGGGCUAUAAGGCUGACCUGGUGCUGAGGCGAGUCUGAUGAGGCAUUCCUGGCUCUGGAGUUCACUGGUACAGGCUCAGUGCUGGGGUCCACAGUGAUAUUGAGAGCUCACUUCACUCUCUUUCCCUCAUGUGAAGGAUAUCUCUUUCUAUGCUACACUGCUUCGGCUUGAGGAAGUUCUGGCAAUGACACAACAAUGUGUUGGAAUGCACAACCUUAUUGCAGAGAGAAAGAAUGAACAACUGGGAGCAUCAGUUCAAUCUACCACAAAGUCUCCAACCUGAUUCUUUUCUUAAAUUAUCCAUGUUGUUUAUCAUACCUUUGAU